RNAcentral lists this small nuclear RNA (103 nucleotides) under Amborella trichopoda. Lineage: Eukaryota; Viridiplantae; Streptophyta; Magnoliopsida; Amborellales; Amborellaceae. The record is from RNAcentral.
GUCUCCUCGGAGACAUUCGCUAAAAUUGAAACGAUAAAGAGAAGAUUAACACAGCUCAUUUUCAAGGAUUACACGCACCAAUCAUGAAAUGAUAGAGUGGGAG